AUACGAAGGCUCCAAGCGUUAUCCGGAUUUAUUGGGCGUAAAGCGUACGCAGGCGGCUUAGUGCGUCUCAUGUUAAAUCUUAAUGCUCAACAUUAAGGCUGCAUGGGAUACGGCUAAGCUAGAGGAUGUAAGAGGUUACUGGAACUCACGGUGUAGGGGUGAAAUCCGUUGAUAUCGUGGGGAACACCAAAGGCGAAGGCAGGUAACUGGUACACUCCUGACGCUCAUGUACGAAAGCUAGGGUCGCGAAUGGGAUUAGAUACCCCGGUAGUCC
RNAcentral lists this ribosomal RNA (274 nucleotides) under uncultured bacterium. Its description in RNAcentral is "partial 16S ribosomal RNA". It matches the Rfam family "Bacterial small subunit ribosomal RNA", at positions 523 to 796 of the family's 1533-position model. The record is from RNAcentral.